Liolophura sinensis is the source of this 695-nucleotide long non-coding RNA. RefSeq lists it as uncharacterized. The transcript has 2 exons. The record is from RefSeq and is a predicted model, not a curated record. Lineage: Eukaryota; Metazoa; Mollusca; Polyplacophora; Chitonida; Chitonidae.
GCGCUCGCUCACAGUGCACAGACAAACUGUCAACACCAUAGUGCCGCGAGCAGACUUCGGUGUGCAGGCGGAGGAAAAACUACCGGUCACCGAGGUGUGGGGACAGAGCCAGAAAUGAAUCCCAGAAAUUAAGAUGAGAACCCAAGACAAAACUUUCCGGCUUUCCGGCUAGAUGAGAACCCAAGACAGAACUUUCCGGCUUUCCGGCUUGAGGAGAACCCAAGACAGAACUUUCCGGCUUUCCGGCUUGAGGAGAACCCAAGACAAAACUUUCCGGCUUUCCGGCUUGAGGAGAACCCAAGACAGAACUUUCCGGCUUUCCGGCUAGAUGAGAACCCAAGACAGAACUUUCCGGCUUUCUGGCUUGAGGAGAACCCAAGACAAAACUUUCCGGCUUUCCGGCUUGAUGAGAACCCAAGACAAAACUUGCCGGCUUUCCGGCUUGAGGAGAACCCAAGACAAAACUUUCCGGCUUUCCGGCUAGAUGAGAACCCAAGACAGAACUUUCCGGCUUUCCGGCUCGAGGAGAACCCAAGACAACAAAACGAUUAUUCACCGAUUACGAACUGGAAAUCUGACUAGGAUGUCAUGCCCAUAGGACAUCUACUUUCUUUCCCCCAUCACUAAAACCUGUUGGCUGUUUCUCUCUUACACGUUACCAACUUUAUUCACUAAUUAUAUAAUUAUAUCUUGCA